Molecule: non-coding RNA, 197 nt
Organism: Oryza barthii
Lineage: Eukaryota; Viridiplantae; Streptophyta; Magnoliopsida; Poales; Poaceae
Source: Rfam
AAAAAGACAAACCCCGUGUCCAACUUUGACUGUCCGUUUUAUAUAAAAUUUUUUUAUAAUUCGUAUUUUCAUUGUUGUUAAAUGAUAAAACAUGAUUAAUAUUUUAUACGUGACUUGUCUUUUUAAUUUUUUUCAUAUUUUUUUCAAAUAAGACGGCCGGUCAAACGUUGGGCUCGAAAACUAGGGUUUGUCUUUCU